GAGUGGGAGAAAACGAUAACGAAGGUAAGUCUGCUGCAGUUGUGACUGGAGAGGAAGAUGUUGAGAAGAGGGGGACAUAGUGGCAUUUCAUUGUGGUGGUGCCAUUGGUGACGACCGGAGAAAAAGAAUAGAAAGAGGAGGCGAUCACUUGAACUAGCUUAGAAGAGGUGAAGGACAUGAGAAGAGGCGAUGGAGAAGGGAGGAUGGGACAAGAAGAAGCUUGGCUAUGUGUGGAGGCAACGAAUUGAGAACCUUAGCCACCUCAAUAGCUCAUUCAGCCAUUUUCUUGUAAACUAGACC
Molecule: long non-coding RNA, 300 nt
Filed under: Elaeis guineensis (African oil palm)
Lineage: Eukaryota; Viridiplantae; Streptophyta; Magnoliopsida; Arecales; Arecaceae
Description: long non-coding RNA (EGUI_LNC022324)
Source: RNAcentral